UAUCGUUUGCUACUUGAAGAGAGGUUAUCCUUUGUGUGUUUGCUUUACGCGAAAUGAAUAUGCAAGGGCAAGCUCUCUUCGAGGAGCAAA
This 90-nucleotide microRNA precursor is filed under the name Cricetulus griseus (Chinese hamster). RNAcentral also lists the same sequence under 2 other names. The record is from RNAcentral. Lineage: Eukaryota; Metazoa; Chordata; Mammalia; Rodentia; Cricetidae.